UGCUUUCGUAAGAUGCCUCACUUAAAAGCUAUCCUUAGAAUUGCGAACACGGUUUAUUCUCUUUUUUUCCUUUAAAAUUAGAGCAUUCCUUAUUUUAACAUGAGCUUUGGGACUUGUUGAUUCGCCUUCAGAGUGCGGUCGAUUAUUGUUCGAAUAAAGCUCGUGAACUAGCAUUAAACUCUUACAUGGACAAUAUCCCUCGGCGAACGCAAUUAAAUUCUCGCAUUUUCCUGGGGCAUUUAUAACAAAGAAAGUUGCGCGUGCUCAUUUUCUCCUGCCACAACAAUCACUGCGGCUUUUAGAAUUCGACUAUGAGCAACAAGGAACGCUUUGUGUUUGAUGACAAUCGCAGUUAUUCUCGAAGAAUACUGGCCAGCCAAUAAUUUGAAAGUAAUGCCCAAGCAUUAGGACUAUAUAUAAGGUGCCUGUUGAAGCCCGUCUUUGACACGUCGCCUAAGCUGGAAAGCUGACUGGUCUCUUUGCUCGGAAGCAAGACAUUCCAAGCAGCCUUCACCAUGUCUGGAAUGAGUUCGUGCCAGAAGAGAUCCAGUGGCUUUCGCUACGCCGCCUGCCUUUUUGUGAUCGCGUUCGUAGCUUUCCAGCUCUGUGACAGCGCUCUCGCCUAUGACGACAGCUACAACAACGCCAAUAAUAACGCAGACUCCGAUGCAAAUGCGAACGCCGAUCACCCCUACAAUGCGAACUCCAACAAAGCCACUGCAUCCCCUGGAAAGCACUAUGCAGGCGACCACAAGUAACAUUACUGAUCGCUGACGCCUCUCGAGGCACGGUGUAGCAGCGCAUCUGGAAUAAAGCACGUAAUUCGGCAGCA
Long non-coding RNA from Dermacentor andersoni, 832 nucleotides. RefSeq lists it as uncharacterized. NCBI's taxonomy places the organism in Eukaryota, Metazoa, Arthropoda, Arachnida, Ixodida, Ixodidae. The record is from RefSeq and is a predicted model, not a curated record.